Molecule: ribosomal RNA, 108 nt
Filed under: Propithecus coquereli (Coquerel's sifaka)
Lineage: Eukaryota; Metazoa; Chordata; Mammalia; Primates; Indriidae
Source: RNAcentral
GUCUACAGCCAUACCACCCUGAACAUGCCUGAUCUCAUCUGACCUUGGAAGCUAAGCAGGGUAGGGCCUGGUUAGUAUUUGGAUGGGAGAAAAGGAGAAAGAGAGACA